UGCAGUCGACGGCAGCACGGGUGCUUGCACCUGGUGGCGAGUGGCGAACGGGUGAGUAAUACAUCGGAACAUGUCCUGUAGUGGGGGAUAGCCCGGCGAAAGCCGGAUUAAUACCGCAUACGAUCUACGGAUGAAAGCGGGGGACCUUCGGGCCUCGCGCUAUAGGGUUGGCCGAUGGCUGAUUAGCUAGUUGGUGGGGUAAAGGCCUACCAAGGCGACGAUCAGUAGCUGGUCUGAGAGGACGACCAGCCACACUGGGACUGAGACACGGCCCAGACUCCUACGGGAGGCAGCAGUGGGGAAUUUUGGACAAUGGGCGAAAGCCUGAUCCAGCAAUGCCGCGUGUGUGAAGAAGGCCUUCGGGUUGUAAAGCACUUUUGUCCGGAAAGAAAUCCUUGGUUCUAAUAUAGCCGGGGGAUGACGGUACCGGAAGAAUAAGCACCGGCUAACUACGUGCCAGCAGCCGCGGUAAUACGUAGGGUGCAAGCGUUAAUCGGAAUUACUGGGCGUAAAGCGUGCGCAGGCGGUUUGCUAAGACCGAUGUGAAAUCCCC
RNAcentral lists this ribosomal RNA (553 nucleotides) under Burkholderia sp. RZ1MS19. RNAcentral describes it as "bacterial SSU rRNA". It matches the Rfam family "Bacterial small subunit ribosomal RNA", at positions 56 to 604 of the family's 1533-position model. Lineage: Bacteria; Pseudomonadati; Pseudomonadota; Betaproteobacteria; Burkholderiales; Burkholderiaceae. The record is from RNAcentral.